GAUGAAGAACGUAGCGAAAUGCGAUACGUAAUGUGAAUUGCAGAAUUCAUUGAAUCAUCGAGUCUUUGAACGCACAUUGCGCCCCCUGGUAUUCCGGGGGGCAUGCCUGUCCGAGCGUCAUUGCUGCCCUCAAGCACGGCUUGUGUGUUGGGCCUCCGUCCUCCUCCCGGGGGACGGGCCCGAAAGGCAGCGGCGGCACCGCGUCCGGUCCUCGAGCGUAUGGGGCUUCGUCACCCGCUCUUGUAGGCCCGGCCGGCGCUUGCCGACACAUCAAUCUUUUUUCCAGGUUGACCUCGGAUCAGGUAGGGAUACCCGCUGAACUUAAGCAUAUCAAUAAGCGGAGGA
This 345-nucleotide unclassified non-coding RNA is filed under the name soil metagenome. Its description in RNAcentral is "partial contains 5.8S ribosomal RNA, internal transcribed spacer 2, and large subunit ribosomal RNA". The stretch from base 1 to 120 matches the Rfam family "5.8S ribosomal RNA", at positions 35 to 154 of the family's 154-position model. The record is from RNAcentral.